RNAcentral lists this ribosomal RNA (506 nucleotides) under uncultured bacterium. RNAcentral describes it as "partial 16S ribosomal RNA". It matches the Rfam family "Bacterial small subunit ribosomal RNA", at positions 29 to 523 of the family's 1533-position model. The record is from RNAcentral.
AGUGAACGCUGGCGGUAGGCCUAACACAUGCAAGUCGAACGGCAGCACAGAGGAGCUUGCUCCUUGGGUGGCGAGUGGCGGACGGGUGAGGAAUACAUCGGAAUCUACUCUGUCGUGGGGGAUAACGUAGGGAAACUUACGCUAAUACCGCAUACGACCUACGGGUGAAAGCAGGGGACCUUCGGGCCUGGCGCGAUUGAAUGCGCCGGGGUCGGGUUAGCUAGUUGGCGGGGUAAAGGCCCACCAAGGCGACGAUCCGUAGCUGGUCUGAGAGGAUGAUCAGCCACACUGGAACUGAGACACGGUCCAGACUCCUACGGGAGGCAGCAGUGGGGAAUAUUGGACAAUGGGCGCAAGCCUGAUCCAGCCAUACCGCGUGGGUGAAGAAGGCCUUCGGGUUGUAAAGCCCUUUUGUUGGGAAAGAAAUCCAGCUGGCUAAUACCCGGUUGGGAUGACGGUACCCAAAGAAUAAGCACCGGCUAACUUCGUGCCAGCCGCCGCCGUAA